UAGCAUAUCAAUAAGCGGAGGAAAAGAAACCAACAGGGAUUGCCUCAGUAACGGCGAGUGAAGCGGCAAAAGCUCAAAUUUGAAAUCUGGCUCCUUCGGGGUCCGAGUUGUAAUUUGGAGAGGAUGCUCUGGGAGUGGUCGCGGUCUAAGUCCCCUGGAACGGGGCGUCGCAGAGGGUGAGAAUCCCGUCUUCGGCCGGCCGGCUGCAACCGUGUAGAGCUCCUUCGACGAGUCGAGUUGUUUGGGAAUGCAGCUCUAAAUGGGUGGUAAAUUUCAUCUAAAGCUAAAUACUGGUCGGAGACCGAUAGCGCACAAGUAGAGUGAUCGAAAGAUGAAAAGCACUUUGAAAAGAGAGUUAAACAGCAUGUGAAAUUGUUGAAAGGGAAGCACAUGCGACCAGAGUCGGCCGUGGGGGUUCAGCAGGGGUCCUCCCCUGUGCAUUCCCCCGCGGUCGGGCCAGCAUCAGUUCUGGCGGCCGGUUAAAGGCUUCGGGAAUGUAUCCUCCUCCGGGAGAACUUAUAGCCCGAGGUGCAAUGCGGCCAGCCGGGACUGAGGAACGCGCUUCGGCACGGAUGCUGGCUUAAUGGUCGUUUGUGGCCCGUCUUGAAACACGGACCAAGGAGUCUAACAUCCACGCGAGUGUUAGGGUGUCAAACCCUUCCGCGCAGUGAAAGCGAACGGAGGUGAGAGCCCCUCGAGGGUGCAUCAUCGACCGAUCCUGAAGUCUUCGGAUGGAUUUGAGUAUGAGCGUGGCUGUUGGGACCCGAAAGAUGGUGAACUAUGCCUGAAUAGGGUGAAGCCAGAGGAAACUCUGGUGGAGGCUCGCAGCGGUUCUGACGUGCAAAUCGAUCGUCGAAUUUGGGUAUAGGGGCGAAAGACUAAUCGAACCAUCUGGUAGCUGGUUCCUGCGA
This 911-nucleotide ribosomal RNA is filed under the name Ascosphaera flava. RNAcentral describes it as "LSU rRNA". It matches the Rfam family "Eukaryotic large subunit ribosomal RNA", at positions 36 to 963 of the family's 3401-position model. The record is from RNAcentral. Lineage: Eukaryota; Fungi; Ascomycota; Eurotiomycetes; Onygenales; Ascosphaeraceae.